GUAGGGCGGGACACGUGGUAUCCUGUCUGAAUAUGGGGGGACCAUCCUCCAAGGCUAAAUACUCCUGACUGACCGAUAGUGAACCAGUACCGUGAGGGAAAGGCGAAAAGAACCCCGGCGAGGGGAGUGAAAAAGAACCUGAAACCGUGUACGUACAAGCAGUGGGAGCACGCUUAGGCGUGUGACUGCGUACCUUUUGUAUAAUGGGUCAGCGACUUAUAUUCUGUAGCAAGGUUAACCGAAUAGGGGAGCCGAAGGGAAACCGAGUCUUAACUGGGCGUUAAGUUGCAGGGUAUAGACCCGAAACCCGGUGAUCUAGCCAUGGGCAGGUUGAAGGUUGGGUAACACUAACUGGAGGACCGAACCGACUAAUGUUGAAAAAUUAGCGGAUGACUUGUGGCUGGGGGUGAAAGGCCAAUCAAACCGGGAGAUAGCUGGUUCUCCCCGAAAGCUAUUUAGGUAGCGCCUCGUGAAUUCAUCUCCGGGGGUAGAGCACUGUUUCGGCAAGGGGGUCAUCCCGACUUACCAACCCGAUGCAAACUGCGAAUACCGGAGAAUGUUAUCACGGGAGACACACGGCGGGUGCUAACGUCCGUCGUGAAGAGGGAAACAACCCAGACCGCCAGCUAAGGUCCCAAAGUCAUGGUUAAGUGGGAAACGAUGUGGGAAGGCCCAGACAGCCAGGAUGUUGGCUUAGAAGCAGCCAUCAUUUAAAGAAAGCGUAAUAGCUCACUGGUCGAGUCGGCCUGCGCGGAAGAUGUAACGGGGCUAAACCAUGCACCGAAGCUGCGGCAGCGACGCUUAUGCGUUGUUGGGUAGGGGAGCGUUCUGUAAGCCUGCGAAGGUGUGCUGUGAGGCAUGCUGGAGGUAUCAGAAGUGCGAAUGCUGACAUAAGUAACGAUAAAGCGGGUGAAAAGCCCGCUCGCCGGAAGACCAAGGGUUCCUGUCCAACGUUAAUCGGGGCAGGGUGAGUCGACCCCUAAGGCGAGGCCGAAAGGCGUAGUCGAUGGGAAACAGGUUAAUAUUCCUGUACUUGGUGUUACUGCGAAGGGGGGACGGAGAAGGCUAUGUUGGCCGGGCGACGGUUGUCCCGGUUUAAGCGUGUAGGCUGGUUUUCCAGGCAAAUCCGGAAAAUCAAGGCUGAGGCGUGAUGACGAGGCACUACGGUGCUGAAGCAACAAAUGCCCUGCUUCCAGGAAAAGCCUCUAAGCAUCAGGUAACAUCAAAUCGUACCCCAAACCGACACAGGUGGUCAGGUAGAGAAUACCAAGGCGCUUGAGAGAACUCGGGUGAAGGAACUAGGCAAAAUGGUGCCGUAACUUCGGGAGAAGGCACGCUGAUAUGUAGGUGAAGUCCCUCGCGGAUGGAGCUGAAAUCAGUCGAAGAUACCAGCUGGCUGCAACUGUUUAUUAAAAACACAGCACUGUGCAAACACGAAAGUGGACGUAUACGGUGUGACGCCUGCCCGGUGCCGGAAGGUUAAUUGAUGGGGUCAGCGCAAGCGAAGCUCUUGAUCGAAGCCCCGGUAAACGGCGGCCGUAACUAUAACGGUCCUAAGGUAGCGAAAUUCCUUGUCGGGUAAGUUCCGACCUGCACGAAUGGCGUAAUGAUGGCCAGGCUGUCUCCACCCGAGACUCAGUGAAAUUGAACUCGCUGUGAAGAUGCAGUGUACCCGCGGCAAGACGGAAAGACCCCGUGAACCUUUACUAUAGCUUGACACUGAACAUUGAGCCUUGAUGUGUAGGAUAGGUGGGAGGCUUUGAAGUGUGGACGCCAGUCUGCAUGGAGCCGACCUUGAAAUACCACCCUUUAAUGUUUGAUGUUCUAACGUGGACCCGUAAUCCGGGUUGCGGACAGUGUCUGGUGGGUAGUUUGACUGGGGCGGUCUCCUCCUAAAGAGUAACGGAGGAGCACGAAGGUUGGCUAAUCCUGGUCGGACAUCAGGAGGUUAGUGCAAUGGCAUAAGCCAGCUUGACUGCGAGCGUGACGGCGCGAGCAGGUGCGAAAGCAGGUCAUAGUGAUCCGGUGGUUCUGAAUGGAAGGGCCAUCGCUCAACGGAUAAAAGGUACUCCGGGGAUAACAGGCUGAUACCGCCCAAGAGUUCAUAUCGACGGCGGUGUUUGGCACCUCGAUGUCGGCUCAUCACAUCCUGGGGCUGAAGUAGGUCCCAAGGGUAUGGCUGUUCGCCAUUUAAAGUGGUACGCGAGCUGGGUUUAGAACGUCGUGAGACAGUUCGGUCCCUAUCUGCCGUGGGCGCUGGAGAACUNAGGGGGGCUGCUCCUAGUACGAGAGGACCGGAGUGGACGCAUCACUGGUGUUCGGGUUGUCAUGCCAAUGGCACUGCCCGGUAGCUAAAUGCGGAAGAGAUAAGUGCUGAAAGCAUCUAAGCACGAAACUUGCCCCGAGAUGAGUUCUCCCUGACUCCUUGAGAGUCCUGAAGGAACGUUGAAGACGACGACGUUGAUAGGCCGGGUGUGUAAGCGCAGCGAUGCGUUGAGCUAACCGGUACUAAUGAACCGUGAGGCUUAACCUU
Molecule: ribosomal RNA, 2533 nt
Filed under: Escherichia coli TW10722
Lineage: Bacteria; Pseudomonadati; Pseudomonadota; Gammaproteobacteria; Enterobacterales; Enterobacteriaceae
Description: bacterial LSU rRNA
Rfam family: Bacterial large subunit ribosomal RNA
Source: RNAcentral